Molecule: ribosomal RNA, 648 nt
Filed under: Polyporales sp.
Lineage: Eukaryota; Fungi; Basidiomycota; Agaricomycetes; Polyporales
Description: partial large subunit ribosomal RNA
Rfam family: Eukaryotic large subunit ribosomal RNA
Source: RNAcentral
GAGGAAAAGAAACUAACAAGGAUUCCCCUAGUAACUGCGAGUGAAGCGGGAAAAGCUCAAAUUUAAAAUCUGAUGGUCCUUUGAUCAUUCGAGUUGUAGUCUGGAGAAGCGUCUUCCGUGCUGUGCCGUGUGCAAGUCUCUUGGAACAGAGCAUCAUAGAGGGUGAGAAUCCCGUCUUUGACAUGGACCUGUCAGUGCUUUGCGAUGCGCUCUCGAAGAGUCGAGUUGUUUGGGAAUGCAGCUCAAAAUGGGUGGUAAAUUCCAUCUAAAGCUAAAUAUUGGCGAGAGACCGAUAGCGAACAAGUACCGUGAGGGAAAGAUGAAAAGCACUUUGAAAAGAGAGUUAAACAGUACGUGAAAUUGCUGAAAGGGAAACGCUUGAAGUCAGUCGCGUUGAUCGGAACUCAGCCUUGCCUUUAAUCAGGCUCGGUGCACUUUUUGAUCGACGGGCCAGCAUCAUUUUUGAUUGUCGGAUAAAGAUGGAAGGAAUGUGGCAUCUUUGGAUGUGUUUAUAGCCUUUGGUUGCAUACGACGGUUAGAAUUGAGGAAUUUCAGCACAUCAUCUUUUUUUGAGAUGGUCAGAGCGAUGAGCUCUCACGUUUUUGUGCUUAGGAUGCUGGUGUAAUGGCUUUAAACGACCCGUCUUGA